AUUUUAAUAGCUUAAAUUAGAGCAUGAUAUUGAAGAUAUCAAGGAGAUUUAUUAUCUUAAAAUA
Molecule: transfer RNA, 64 nt
Filed under: Conoderus sp. UPOL 001416
Lineage: Eukaryota; Metazoa; Arthropoda; Insecta; Coleoptera; Elateridae
Description: tRNA-Phe
Source: RNAcentral